RNAcentral lists this ribosomal RNA (273 nucleotides) under uncultured bacterium. RNAcentral describes it as "partial 16S ribosomal RNA". It matches the Rfam family "Bacterial small subunit ribosomal RNA", at positions 524 to 796 of the family's 1533-position model. The record is from RNAcentral.
UACGUAGGGUGCGAGCGUUAAUCGGCAUUACUGGGCGUAAAGCGUGCGCAGGCGGUUAUAUAAGACAGAUGUGAAAUCCCCGGGCUCAACCUGGGCACUGCAUUUGUGACUGUAUAGCUAGAGUACGGUAGAGGGGGAUGGAAUUCCGCGUGUAGCAGUGAAAUGCGUAGAUAUGCGGAGGAACACCGAUGGCGAAGGCAAUCCCCUGGACCUGUACUGAAGCUCAUGCACGAAAGCGGGGGGAGCACACAGGAUUCGAUAACACCGUAGUCC